Solanum verrucosum is the source of this 929-nucleotide RNA transcript. RefSeq lists it as uncharacterized. Lineage: Eukaryota; Viridiplantae; Streptophyta; Magnoliopsida; Solanales; Solanaceae. The record is from RefSeq and is a predicted model, not a curated record. The transcript is spliced from 4 exons.
ACAAAUGGAAAGAUAUAUGGAGAUGGAGGAAACAAAGAUUUCCUCUAAUGUCCUCCAACCACACCCACACACACAAUUCAACCUCUUUCCACAAUUAACCCCUCUUUUUUUCCCUUCCAUAUAUGGGGUUUUAUCUAAGUACCCCAUCCACAUUAUCCCUCUUGAUAAAAUGGACCAACUAUUCUUCAAAGAUUUGAUUUUUUUGAUGUGGGUUUGAGUAUUCAUGAAAUUUUGGGGCUUUUUCCCUUGGUGGGUAUGUGCUAGUGAAUAGAGAUGAAAAGGUCUGUUGAGGGUUUCAAUGGAAUUAGUUUUGUUGAUGAAGAAGAAUCCAAGGUGGAGAAGCUAAACCAGAAAAAGCUGUUAAAUGAGUUAUUAGAACUGCAAAAGGAUUUUGUCUCCAAGAAGAGGAAGUUGCAGGCUGCAAAGCUGAAGAAAGAAAACAUUUUGGGUGAAAUCCUAUUCUUAAAGCAAAGGCGUAGAUACUUAUUGAAAAGCCAAUCUUCCGAUGACGAUAAUGAAAAGAACAUUUCACAUUUAAAAGAACACUUCGAUGCUGAGAGUGAAGUCCCUAAAGUAGAAAGAUCCAACAGUGGCUAUGAUGCAGUAGUAGAGUCAGCUCGUCCUGCCUUCACCUCAAAGUUCAACUCGGAACAUCAUGAAGUAGGAUACGAAGAACUGUUAGCAGGCGGGGACGUGUUAAGAAUGGAGUGUGUGCCAAAGAAUUACAAAGAAGAAACUCUCCUGGCAUGGUCAAGUCACAUUGAAGGUCUAAAAUUCUGAUAUAUCUUUCUUUAAGGAGAGUGAUCUCCAUAACUUAUCGAUAUCUUAUUCUUGAUUCCCUUUUCGCUUUCCUCCUUUGUUGCCACGGUGAAACACAUUAACUUGGAGUAUGCAAUAUCUGAGGUUGUCUAAUCUUUUUCUGGGCAUAA